This 409-nucleotide ribosomal RNA is filed under the name uncultured bacterium. Its description in RNAcentral is "bacterial SSU rRNA". It matches the Rfam family "Bacterial small subunit ribosomal RNA", at positions 355 to 776 of the family's 1533-position model. The record is from RNAcentral.
UGGGGAAUAUUGCACAAUGGGCGCAAGCCUGAUGCAGCAACGCCGCGUGGGGGAUGAAGGCCUUCGGGUUGUAAACCCCUUUUAGUAGGGAAGAAGCGAAAGUGACGGUACCUACAGAAAAAGCGCCGGCUAACUACGUGCCAGCAGCCGCGGUAAUACGUAGGGCGCAAGCGUUGUCCGGAAUUAUUGGGCGUAAAGAGCUCGUAGGCGGUUUGUCGCGUCUGCUGUGAAAUCCCGAGGCUCAACCUCGGGUCUGCAGUGGGUACGGGCAGACUAGAGUGUGGUAGGGGAGACUGGAAUUCCUGGUGUAGCGGUGGAAUGCGCAGAUAUCAGGAGGAACACCAAUGGCGAAGGCAGGUCUCUGGGCCACAACUGACGCUGAGGAGCGAAAGCGUGGGGAGCGAACAGG